RNAcentral lists this long non-coding RNA (996 nucleotides) under Cicer arietinum (chickpea). RNAcentral describes it as "long non-coding RNA (CARI_LNC001796)". Lineage: Eukaryota; Viridiplantae; Streptophyta; Magnoliopsida; Fabales; Fabaceae. The record is from RNAcentral.
UCUCCUUUUAUCUUUAUAAUACUGGGCAGUAUAAGAUUUGUUUCGAAAAGUACAAUUUCAACCAAAAUCAACAGUUGGUAAGGAGGAAGGUUAUUUGAUUCAUCAUAAAUAGAGUUAAUAUAUUUGAAUUUGCAAGGCGCUGCAUUUAAAAUACUUUUUGACCCUGGUUCUCCAUUGUACUGAGACAUUAAUAGGAUUUCUUCUACAUUGGAGAAUUUCCUAUAAAAAGUUAUGUUUUUGCUUUAGAAUUUUUCAAUCAUUAUUAGAUCGCUCUUUUGAUCAUCAACACAAUCCGUGUUAUGUUGAUUAACUACUUCCACCAUUAAAACCUUUAAAAAAAACAUUUAAAUACAUCAAUGAAAUUAAAAACAACUCCAAUGGAAUAUAUAAUUAGUAAGACAAAUAUUUAUUGUGUUACAUGAGUAUAAUUUGAAGGACACAACACGACCAAUACAUAAAUACAACCAACUUAUGACAUGAAUGAAGGAUAAACUUUUAAUUAGGCACACAAAUGUACCAUUGAAACAAUAACACAAAAAUAGAAAGAAAAUUCAAACAGGGAGGGUAAUUAAUUAAAUUAAACACUUUCUUUGGCUGCAAGAAAAGUAAGUAUAAAAGGAAGAAGAACAAUGAUGGCUGCAGGAUAACUUAGACUUCUUGGAGAGGCAGAGGGUGCAUUUGCAUUGUCAUAGUCAGAUCCGCUCCCAUAUUGAGCAGCCGCAACCGCAACUGCAACCACAAAACAAAUUAAGAACACUGUGAAUUUGAGUGGUGAACCCAUUACUAAUUAAACUAGGUGAUAAUAUUAAUUUCUUUGUUGCUUUGUACCAAAGUAGAUGAUUAAUAUAAAUAGUUGAGAAGGGUUGCACAAUUGCGGUUAGUUGAUUCUUAUGAAAUAAACAAACAAACAGAGAACUAAUGGUAUUAGCCUCUUAGGUGGCCUAAGACUUGCCUCCUAACAUGAUUCUUGGUUAUAUCUAUAAUGCAAUAUUAAAU